GUGACUGAGACAUGAUGCUCAUAAUGACCUUUGUAAAUGACAUCUGUUUCUCAGUCAACA
This 60-nucleotide microRNA precursor is filed under the name Taeniopygia guttata (zebra finch). RNAcentral's name for it is "Tgu-Mir-7643_pre stem-loop". The record is from RNAcentral. Lineage: Eukaryota; Metazoa; Chordata; Aves; Passeriformes; Estrildidae.